RNAcentral lists this ribosomal RNA (253 nucleotides) under uncultured bacterium. RNAcentral's name for it is "partial 16S ribosomal RNA". It matches the Rfam family "Bacterial small subunit ribosomal RNA", at positions 524 to 776 of the family's 1533-position model. The record is from RNAcentral.
UACGGUGGGGGCAAGCGUUGUUCGGAAUUACUGGGCGUAAAGGGUUUGUAGGUGGCUUGCUAAGUCAGACGUGAAAUCCCUCAGCUUAACUGGGGAACUGCGUCUGAUACUAGCGAGCUUGAGUGCAGGAGAGGAACGCGGAAUUCCAGGUGUAGCGGUGAAAUGCGUAGAUAUCUGGAGGAACACCGGUGGCGAAGGCGGCGUUCUGGACUGCAACUGACACUGAAAAACGAAAGCCAGGGGAGCAAACGGG